Small nucleolar RNA from Mastomys coucha (southern multimammate mouse), 132 nucleotides. RefSeq annotates it as small nucleolar RNA SNORA70. The record is from RefSeq and is a predicted model, not a curated record. NCBI's taxonomy places the organism in Eukaryota, Metazoa, Chordata, Mammalia, Rodentia, Muridae. The transcript has a single exon.
GUGCAGCCAAUUAAGCCCAUUAGGUCCUUCCCUCACGGGGCCUGGUACACAAUGGGUUCAGGCAGCCAUCUUCUUCGUAGUAUAUGAAGCCUGUUGCUCAUAAGGGAUGCGCUAAGGACCUUGGAGACAGAU